RNAcentral lists this long non-coding RNA (258 nucleotides) under Elaeis guineensis (African oil palm). RNAcentral describes it as "long non-coding RNA (EGUI_LNC046008)". The record is from RNAcentral. Lineage: Eukaryota; Viridiplantae; Streptophyta; Magnoliopsida; Arecales; Arecaceae.
CGAGGAACCCAAAGAUGAUGAAGAAUAAGGAUACUUUCUCUUUUUCUUUCUGGAUCCACACAUCAGAUUUCUACAAUAGAGAUCAAGAGAAGAAUCCUUUCUUUUCAAUUCUCCUAUGCACAAGAGAACCUUUCUCUCUUCCUUCCACACCUUUAAGAAGAACUUUUCUUCUCAAAUUUUUUAUGAUAAAAACUAGAUCUAAUCUAAUUUUUUAUACUAAAAAUUAUAUAAAAUCUUAAGCUCUAGAAGAAUAUGAAA